UUUGGCAGCAAUAGUGUAAUGGUCCCACCUGAAUCCAUACCGAACUCAGAAGUGAAACAUUAUUAACGCCGAUGGUAGUGUGGGGUAUCCCCAUGUGAGAGUAGGGCACUGCCAAAU
This 117-nucleotide ribosomal RNA is filed under the name Rodentibacter sp. Ppn85. The record is from RNAcentral. Lineage: Bacteria; Pseudomonadati; Pseudomonadota; Gammaproteobacteria; Pasteurellales; Pasteurellaceae.